RNAcentral lists this ribosomal RNA (253 nucleotides) under uncultured bacterium. RNAcentral describes it as "partial 16S ribosomal RNA". It matches the Rfam family "Bacterial small subunit ribosomal RNA", at positions 524 to 776 of the family's 1533-position model. The record is from RNAcentral.
GACGUAGGAGGCGAGCGUUGUCCGGAUUCAUUGGGCGUAAAGAGCACGCAGGCGGUUUGGCAAGUCGGAUGUGAAAACCCGGAGCUCAACUCCGGGCGUGCAUCCGAUACUGCCCGACUAGAGGUAGGUAGGGGAGAUCGGAAUUCCUGGUGUAGCGGUGAAAUGCGCAGAUAUCAGGAGGAACACCGGUGGCGAAGGCGGGUCUCUGGGCCGAUACUGACGCUGAGGAGCGAAAGCAUGGGGAGCGAACAGG